ACUAUCUGUAGAUAUUUUCUUUUUUUAAAGGAAUUUAACCACCCACCCCUUCCUCCUGAAGGCUCCCAGAAUAAAAGGGACACUGAUAACAACAACAACAACAACAACAACAACAACAACAACAACAACAACAACAACAAGAUUUAUUUUAGAAUGGCAGAACCAGCAUAAAAUCAGAAUGAAAACCUAAAGGAUUUCUUUAAGGCCAUGCAUUUUGGAACACAAUACUUGGCUGGAGAAUUGCAUUGCAAAAUUUGGAGAUGUCUGAAUUUUGAAUGAUGGGUGGUAAAAGGUAAAGGUAAAGAACCCCUGGACGG
Molecule: non-coding RNA, 317 nt
Organism: Zootoca vivipara (common lizard)
Lineage: Eukaryota; Metazoa; Chordata; Lepidosauria; Squamata; Lacertidae
Source: RefSeq, a predicted model, not a curated record